Molecule: ribosomal RNA, 253 nt
Filed under: uncultured bacterium
Lineage: Bacteria
Description: partial 16S ribosomal RNA
Rfam family: Bacterial small subunit ribosomal RNA
Source: RNAcentral
UACGAAGGGGGCUAGCGUUGUUCGGAAUCACUGGGCGUAAAGCGUACGUAGGCGGAUGCUUAAGUCAGAGGUGAAAGCCUGGAGCUCAACUCCAGAACUGCCUUUGAUACUGGGCGUCUUGAGUCCGGGAGAGGUGAGUGGAACUGCUAGUGUAGAGGUGAAAUUCGUAGAUAUUAGCAAGAACACCAGUGGCGAAGGCGGCUCACUGGCCCGGUACUGACGCUGAGGUACGAAAGCGUGGGGAGCAAACAGG